GUCUCUCUCUGCUUCCUGAUCACCAUGUGAGCUGCUUCCCCUCACCACACUCUUCCGCCAUGAUGUCCUGCCUCACCUCCAGCCCCGAGGAAUGGAGCCGGCUGCCUAGGGACUGAGACCUCUGAAACCGCAAGCCUCCAAAUAAACUUUUCCUCCUUUAAAGUUGUUCUUUUCAGGUCUUUUAAUCACAGCAGUGAAAAAGCUGACUAAAACAAGCCCUUGGACUCUACCUGCCCAACACCAUGGUGCUAUGAGAUCUGGAGGUCAGGAAGUCCCGAGGUACCCAAGAAGUAGCUCCGUCCUCCCAUGGAGGCAUCAAAAAGACCAUUCUCAGAUGCUGCUUCAACAGCAGGAAGAACCCCAGCUUGGUCCUGGUGGACUGCCUGCCUCUCAAGUUGCUUCUGCUCUCGGGCCUCAGUUUCCCCAUCUCUAAGGAAAAGUGCUGGGCUGGAUUCUCUCUCCACGCUCCUGGUGCCAAGCUUUCCUGGAGGGCACAGGAGCUGCAUCCAGCAGCAGAGACUCCCAAAUAAACCAGCAGUGAGAAGGCUGCCUGUGACAAGCGAGAAAGUGCCCCCAGGGUCAUCGAGAUGAGGCGUCCCUGCCCCCCCUGCAGAACCUGCUAGAGAAGAGGUGGGGAUUUGGGCCAGAAGGGGAGGUGCAGGGGCAGGAGAAGGGGUGAGCCCUACGGUGAGCAGAUCCGUGAGCUGGGAGUGGUCAGAAGUGGAGCUCAAUGCCAAGAAGCAGACCAGGGGCUUGAGGUCAGUUCUGGAGGAAGGGCCAAGGCGGCCCAAACCCAUCGCCCUUGAGGCCAAGGUAGGAGGGUGGACAAGUGGUUCCAGUUGCGCAGAGGGGCUGUGUGCUCACUUCCUGCAGGAACAAUUUCAACUCUCCAUCAGCAGAAACGCCUGCCUGCGCAGUUCUGGAGGCCAGGAGUGCGACCUGGAGCAACAGGGCAGUGCUCCCUCCCAGGCUCCGGGGGACCCCCGGCCCCACAAGCUCGUGGUGUUUGCUGAUGAUCUUUAUGGGUCCUUGGCUCGUAGACACCUCACUGGCAGAGAGACUGGCCUUCUCGGAGGCCACCUGGCUGCAUAUCUUCUCUGAGCAGAGAGUGACCUGAGAGGCCACCCUACACCAGGCUCUGGGGCUCAGCAACUGGGUGGGGUGAGGUUCUGGUCUUUGUGGGCAUGCUGGAGCCAUCUUUGAACCCCACACUUUUCUGUCUUGCUGAGAGCCAUAGCCGGAAUGACGCAUGGCAUUGUUGCUAGAAUGGAGUGGUUGAGAGGUGACGACGCCAGCAAGCCAUUGAGAUGAUGAUGGUUAUGUUAAGCUGUGUAUUCAAUUGUAUAUUAGACCCCUGCUGUACACCUCAGGCCCACCGGCUACUUUGGAGUUCUCCCGCUACUUUGGAGUUCUCACAGGGAUUCCUGGGGAGUUCGCAGUUGGUUGGGGAAGUGCCGGAGGAGGGAUUUCCGGUUGGUGGGUGGUGAAUCCAGGGGGAAGGCCGUCUGCGUGGCUUUCGAG
RNAcentral lists this long non-coding RNA (1521 nucleotides) under Marmota monax (woodchuck). Lineage: Eukaryota; Metazoa; Chordata; Mammalia; Rodentia; Sciuridae. The record is from RNAcentral.